This 789-nucleotide ribosomal RNA is filed under the name uncultured bacterium. Its description in RNAcentral is "bacterial SSU rRNA". It matches the Rfam family "Bacterial small subunit ribosomal RNA", at positions 8 to 794 of the family's 1533-position model. The record is from RNAcentral.
AGAGUUUGAUCCUGGCUCAGGAUGAACGCUAGCGGCAGGCUUAAUACAUGCAAGUCGAGGGGUAACAUGGUCUUCGGACUGAUGACGACCGGCAAACGGGUGAGGAACAUGUACGCAACCUACCUUCAACAGGAGAAUAGCCCAUCGAAAGAUGGAUUAAUACUUCGUAACAUAAUGGAAUGGCAUCAUUUUAUUAUUAUAGCUCCGGCGGUUGAAGAUGGGCGUGCACCUGAUUAGAUAGUUGGUGAGGUAACGGCUCACCAAGUCAGCGAUCAGUAACUGGUGUGAGAGCACGACCAGUCACACGGGCACUGAGACACGGGCCCGACUCCUACGGGAGGCAGCAGUAAGGAAUAUUGGUCAAUGGACGCAAGUCUGAACCAGCCAUGCCGCGUGGAGGAUUAAGGCCUUUGGGUUGUAAACUCCUUUUAUCUGGGAAGAAAUGCAUUUUUUAUAGAGUGCUUGACGGUACCAGAGGAAUAAGCACCGGCUAACUCCGUGCCAGCAGCCGCGGUAAUACGGAGGGUGCAAGCGUUAUCCGGAUUUACUGGGUUUAAAGGGUGCGUAGGCGGAUAGGUAAGUCAGUGGUGAAAUCUCCGAGCUUAACUCGGAAACUGCCGUUGAUACUAUUUAUCUUGAAUAUUGUGGAGGUAAGCGGAAUAUGUCAUGUAGCGGUGAAAUGCUUAGAUAUGACAUGGAACACCAAUUGCGAAGGCAGCUUACUACACAGUUAUUGACGCUGAGGCACGAAAGCGUGGGGGAUCAAACAGGAUUAGAUACCCUGGUAGU